AUUGAACGCUGGCGGCAUGCUUUACACAUGCAAGUCGAACGGCAGCGGGGAGGAGCUUGCUUCUCUGCCGGCGAGUGGCGAACGGGUGAGUAAUACAUCGGAACGUGUCGAGAAGAGGGGGAUAACCACCCGAAAGGGUGGCUAAUACCGCAUAAAUUCUGAGGAAGAAAGCUGGGGACCUAGGAAUAGGCCUAGCGCUUUUUGAGCGGCCGAUGUCGGAUUAGCUAGUUGGUGAGGUAAAGGCUCACCAAGGCGAAGAUCUGUAGCGGGUCUGAGAGGAUGAUCCGCCACACUGGGACUGUGACACGGCCCAGACUCCUACGGGAGGCAGCAGUGGGGAAUUUUGGACAAUGGGGGCAACCCUGAUCCAGCCAUGCCGCGUGUAUGAAGAAGGCCUUAGGGUUGUAAAGUACUUUUGUUAGGGAAGAAAAGUCAGCUGUGAAUAAUGGCUGAUACUGACGGUACCUAAAGAAUAAGCACCGGCUAACUACGUG
RNAcentral lists this ribosomal RNA (494 nucleotides) under uncultured bacterium. RNAcentral's name for it is "partial 16S ribosomal RNA". It matches the Rfam family "Bacterial small subunit ribosomal RNA", at positions 30 to 507 of the family's 1533-position model. The record is from RNAcentral.